Molecule: non-coding RNA, 422 nt
Organism: Leptonychotes weddellii (Weddell seal)
Lineage: Eukaryota; Metazoa; Chordata; Mammalia; Carnivora; Phocidae
Source: RefSeq, a predicted model, not a curated record
AGGUUUAUUUUGAAGGCUGUCUCACUGAGGAUUAUUCUAGGAAUGGAGUGGUUCAGAUGUGAUGCUAUUUUCUGAGCGGCCAGUUUGCCAUUGUGAAGAAGUGCCGAGAGAAAAGCACAGGGCUGGAGUACGCGGCCAAGUUCAUCAAAAAGCGGCAGAGCCGGGCCAGCCGGCGGGGCGUGUGCCCGGAGGAGAUUGAGCGGGAGGUGAGCAUCCUGCGGCAGGUGCUACACCCCAACGUCAUCACACUGCACGACGUCUUUGAGAACCGCACCGACGUGGUGCUCAUCCUUGAGCUCCAGAAAACAUUAUGUUGUUAGACAAGAAUAUUCCCAUUCCACACAUCAAGCUGAUUGACUUUGGCCUGGCUCAUGAAAUAGAAGAUGGAGUUGAAUUUAAGAACAUAUUUGGGACGCCAGAAU